UCCCUAACAGCUAGCCCAGCCCCUACUAACAACAAAUCCUUAUUAAUAACCCCAAAUGUAACAACGAAACAUAAGCAAACCAUUUUACCCCUAAAGUAUGGGAGACAGAAAAAGGCCUAUUGGCGCUAUAGAAACUAGUACCGCAAGGGAACGCUGAAAGAGAAAUGAAACAACCCAGUAAAGGAAAAGAAAGCAGAGACAAACCCUCGUACCUUUUGCAUCAUGAAUUGGCAAGCACUUCCAAGCAAAGAGCCCUUUAGUUUGAGCCCCCGAAACUUGGCGAGCUACUCCAAGACAGCCUAUUGGGCCAACCCGUCUCUGUGGCAAAAGAGUGGGAAGAUCUUUGAGUAGAGGUGAUAGACCUACCGAGCCUAGUUAUAGCUGGUUGCCUGAGAGCCGAAUAGAAGUUCAACCUUUUGUAUACUCUAACCCCCUAGAAGCACCCUUCUCCCCCGGGCCAGAGACGCACACAAAAGAGCUAUUCGAGGGAGGGACAGCUCUCUCGAACAAAGACACAACUUUUUUAGGCGGCUAAAGACUAAAACAAACAAGGCGAACACUAAGGUGGGCCUAAAAGCAGCCACCCUAAUAGAAAGCGUUAAAGCUCAAGUGAACAACCCCCUAAAAUAUCAGUAAAUACAUCUUAUGCCCCUUAAUUUAUCAGGCCCUUCCAUGCCUUCAUGGAAGAGAAACUGCUAAUAUGAGUAAUAAGAAAGCUAAACACUUUCUCCCAGCCCCAGCGUAACCGGAACAGACCCUAACCGAAAAUUAACGUUCCCCUGACAGAGGGUAGUGGGGCAUCCUCCCCAUGGACAAGAGAUCCCCCCUAACAACCCCGUUAGCCCCACACUGGUGAGCAAAAGGAAAGACAAAAAGGAAAAGAAGGAACUCGGCAAACACUAGCCUCGCCUGUUUACCAAAAACAUCGCCUCCUGCCCUCUUAGUAUAGGAGGUCCCGCCUGCCCUGUGAUAUAAUUUAACGGCCGCGGUAUUUUGACCGUGCGAAGGUAGCGUAAUCACUUGUCUUUUAAAUGAAGACCUGUAUGAAUGGCAUAACGAGGGCUAAGCUGUCUCCUUUCCCCAGUCAAUGAAAUUGAUCUGCCCGUGCAGAAGCGGGCAUGUCAACAUAAGACGAGAAGACCCUAUGGAGCUUGAGACGAAGGACAGCCUAAGUUAAACACCUUAAAUAAACAAGACCAAACCAAGUAGCCCCUGUCUUAAUGUCUUUGGUUGGGGCGACCAUGGGGAAACACGAAACCCCCGAGCGGAACGAGCUAACCCUCCGAAACCAGAGCCGCAGCUCUAGUAACCAGAACAUCUGACCACUUAGAUCCGGCAACGCCGAUCAACGGACCCAGUUACCCUAGGGAUAACAGCGCAAUCCUCUUUUAGAGCCCAUAUCGACAAGAGGGUUUACGACCUCGAUGUUGGAUCAGGACAUCCUAAUGGUGCAGCCGCUAUUAAGGGUUCGUUUGUUCAACGAUUAAAGUCCU
RNAcentral lists this ribosomal RNA (1493 nucleotides) under Gobiosoma nudum (knobchin goby). RNAcentral describes it as "partial 16S ribosomal RNA". It matches the Rfam family "Bacterial large subunit ribosomal RNA", at positions 112 to 2597 of the family's 2925-position model. The record is from RNAcentral. Lineage: Eukaryota; Metazoa; Chordata; Actinopteri; Gobiiformes; Gobiidae.